Molecule: unclassified non-coding RNA, 378 nt
Filed under: Hevea brasiliensis (rubber tree)
Lineage: Eukaryota; Viridiplantae; Streptophyta; Magnoliopsida; Malpighiales; Euphorbiaceae
Source: RNAcentral
GCCGUUUUUUCUCAGCAGCUGCACGCUUCUGAGAAAUGGCAGCACGCACUCGCUCCUUGUACUUAUUUUCCCAAGUCAUCUUUCGUACCAAUGACAUAGAUGACCUUUCCAUCAGUGAGGCCCUUCGUUGCCUGUAAGCCUUCAGGAUAAGCAUUCUAUUGGCCUCUGCUUGCUGUGCCCUAAUUGCAACUUCUUUGCCAAGCUUCUCACGCUCUUUCUCUUUACGUCUCUCCACAACAGUUUUAGCGACUUGUCGUACCUCAUCCACCAUAGCAAGACGCUUCUGAGCAUUAGCCAAUAUGCUCAACCUCUUCUGCUCUGCAGCCAGAAGUUUUGCUUCAAGCCGCUGACCAAGGUCUCCCUCCUGAGAAGAGGAAU